UACGUAGGGGGGCUAGCGUUGUCCGGAAUCAUUGGGCGUAAAGCGCGUGUAGGCGGCCCGGUAAGUCCGCUGUGAAAGUCGGGGGGCUCAACCCUCGGAUGCCGGUGGAUACUGUCGGGCUCGAGUACGGAAGAGGCGAGUGGAAUUCCUGGUGUAGCGGUGAAAUGCGCAGAUAUCAGGAGGAACACCAAUUGCGAAGGCAGCUCGCUGGGACGUUACUGACGCUGAGACGCGAAAGCGUGGGGAGCAAACAGG
RNAcentral lists this ribosomal RNA (255 nucleotides) under uncultured bacterium. RNAcentral describes it as "partial 16S ribosomal RNA". It matches the Rfam family "Bacterial small subunit ribosomal RNA", at positions 524 to 776 of the family's 1533-position model. The record is from RNAcentral.